RNAcentral lists this transfer RNA (72 nucleotides) under Rattus norvegicus (Norway rat). It matches the Rfam family "tRNA". Rfam says of the family: Transfer RNA (tRNA) molecules are approximately 80 nucleotides in length. The record is from Rfam by way of RNAcentral. Lineage: Eukaryota; Metazoa; Chordata; Mammalia; Rodentia; Muridae.
AGUGGUGUAGCUCAGUGAUAGAGGGCUUGCCAGGCAUGUGCAAAAGCCUGGGUUCAGUUCCCAGCACAACCA